This 724-nucleotide unclassified non-coding RNA is filed under the name Oenothera kunthiana. Its description in RNAcentral is "partial external transcribed spacer". The stretch from base 572 to 724 matches the Rfam family "Eukaryotic small subunit ribosomal RNA", at positions 1 to 153 of the family's 1831-position model. The record is from RNAcentral. Lineage: Eukaryota; Viridiplantae; Streptophyta; Magnoliopsida; Myrtales; Onagraceae.
UCGUGACCUAAGCACAUCCGGCAACGACGUCCCUUUGAUGUCCCUUCGUUGUUUGACGUUUUCGCGUUCUAUGGUACCGGUGGUAUUUGAACGUGAACUCUCACGGUUAGCCGUGCGAUCUUCACGUUCAAUUGCCCCGCAUACAUCAUGUCGCGUGAGUGGUUUUUCGGUAGCGCAUGUUGGCAGGCCCAGUUGUGUAUUCACUGGACUGCACGCGUCCGCUCCUCUCAGUGUUUUGUUCCUCGUUCAGUGUGGAAUGCGUUGGUUCCUGUGUUGCAUACCUCAUAAUGAUCGGUAUUGUCAGUCCCGGAUGCUUGUUUCGUCAGUUGCCCUCAGCGGCAUGCUGGUGAACCACUUAGUAGCGCUUGUGUUCCACGCGGCGCCCUGCUUGCGGGGUAGCGAUGGGCCAUGAGCGCAUACUUGAUCUCUUGGAUGCGGAAUGCUAAAACAGGCACGGGGCCUACAAGCCUCAGAUCAUGUGCCUAUACAGUUCCUUGAUGGAAGACGCUCGUGCCACUCUGCAGACCUUUGUUCCGAAGCGAUGCAAGGGGCCGACGUCGUCAACGGAUGCUACCUGGUUGAUCCUGCCAGUAGUCAUAUGCUUGUCUCAAAGAUUAAGCCAUGCAUGUGUAAGUAUGAACUAAUUCAGACUGUGAAACUGCGAAUGGCUCAUUAAAUCAGUUAUAGUUUGUUUGAUGGUAUCUACUACUCGGAUAACCGUAGU